AUGGAUUCCAUCAUGGCUAACGGGACUUGGGAGCUUACUGAACGUCCUUAUGGUUGCAAACCAUUGGGAUGCAAGUGGGUGUUCAAGAAGAAGCUUAGGCCCGAUGGUACGAUAGAAAAGUACAAGGCUAGGCUUGUGGCCAAUGGCUACGCCCAGAAAGAAGAAGAAGAUUUCUUCGACACUUUUUCACCCGUGGCCAGACUGAUCACCAUUCGAGUAUUACUCUCGUUGGCGGCCUCGCAUGGUCUUCUCAUUCAUCAGAUGGAUGUUAAGACGGCUUUCCUGAACGGAGAGCUAAAGGAGGAAAUCUAUAUGCAACAGCCUGAUGGCUUUGUGAUGGAUGGUCAGGAAGGAAAGGUGUGUAAAUUGGUGAAAUCUUUGUAUGGCCUGAGACAAGCGCCUAAGCAAUGGCAUGACAAGUUUAAUGAAACAUUGACAUCUGUUGGCUUUGUUGUUAAUGAGGCUGACAAAUGUGUAUACUAUCGCUAUGGUGGGGGCGAAGGAGUUAUACUGUGUUUGUUUGUUGAUGACAUACUGAUAUUUGGGACUAAUCUCAAGUUGAUCGAGGAAGUUAAGUCUUUCCUAUCUCAGAACUUUGAGAUGAAGGACCUUGGAGUGGCUGAUGUUAUCUUGAACAUCAAGCUAUCGAGAGAUGAUGAGGGUGGAAUUACACUUUUGCAAUCCCAUUAUAUUGAGAAGGUGUUGAGUCGUUUUGGAUAUUCGGACUGCAAACCAUCUCAAACACCAUAUGAUUCUAGUGUGCUGAUUCGAAAGUCUAAAGGCACAGCUAUAGAUCAAUUGAGAUACUCUCAGAUUGUUGGUUCACUACAGUAUCUAGCGAGCGCAACGAGGCCUGACAUCGCAUUUGCUAUUAGCAAACUGAGCCGAUUUGUUUCCAAACCGGGUGAUGUACAUUGGCGUGCUCUUGAGAGAGUUAUGCGCUAUCUGAAAGGUACUAUGAACUAUGGACUUCACUAUACCGGAUACCCAUCGGUACUUGAAGGGUAUAGUGAUGCGAAUUGGAUCUCUGAUGCUGAUGAGAUGAAGGCCACAACUGGGUAUAUAUUUACUCUUGGAGGUGGUGCUGUUUCCUGGAAGUCUUGCAAGCAAACGAUCUUAACAAGAUCGACAAUGGAAGCAGAAUUAACAGCAUUAGACACAUCGGGUGGCGAAGCAGAAUGGCUUCGAGAUCUGUUGAUGGACUUGUCAGUGGUUGAGAAGCCGGUUCCGGCCAUCCUUAUGAACUGUGACAAUCAAACAGUUAUUGUCAAGAACACACCUAUAUGA
RNAcentral lists this ribosomal RNA (1287 nucleotides) under Triticum aestivum (bread wheat). RNAcentral describes it as "partial small subunit ribosomal RNA". The record is from RNAcentral. Lineage: Eukaryota; Viridiplantae; Streptophyta; Magnoliopsida; Poales; Poaceae.